Molecule: ribosomal RNA, 253 nt
Filed under: uncultured bacterium
Lineage: Bacteria
Description: partial 16S ribosomal RNA
Rfam family: Bacterial small subunit ribosomal RNA
Source: RNAcentral
UACGUAGGCAGCGAGCGUUGUUCGGAGUUACUGGGCGUAAAGAGUGCGUAGGCGGUUUUCUAAGUUUGGUGUGAAAUCUCCCGGCUCAACUGGGAGGGUGCGCCGAAGACUGGAAGACUAGAGUGUGGGAGAGGUAAGCGGAAUUCCUGGUGUAGCGGUGAAAUGCGUAGAUAUCAGGAGGAACACCUGCGGCGAAGGCGGGUUGCUGGGCUGAUACUGACGCUGAGGCGCGAAAGCCAGGGGAGCGAACGGG